UACGGGGGGGGGCAAGCGUUGUUCGGAAUUACUGGGCGUAAAGGGCUCGUAGGUGGCCAACUAAGUCAAACGUGAAAUCCCUCGGCUUAACCGGGGAACUGCGUCUGAUACUGGAUGGCUUGAGUUUGGGAGAGGGAUGCGGAAUUCCAGGUGUAGCGGUGAAAUGCGUAGAUAUCUGGAGGAACACCGGUGGCGAAGGCGGCAUCCUGGACCAACACUGACACUGAGGAGCGAAAGCCAGGGGAGCAAACGGG
This 254-nucleotide ribosomal RNA is filed under the name uncultured bacterium. RNAcentral describes it as "partial 16S ribosomal RNA". It matches the Rfam family "Bacterial small subunit ribosomal RNA", at positions 524 to 776 of the family's 1533-position model. The record is from RNAcentral.